AGUGAACGCUGGCGGUAGGCCUAACACAUGCAAGUCGAACGGCAGCACAGUAAGAGCUUGCUCUUACGGGUGGCGAGUGGCGGACGGGUGAGGAAUACAUCGGAAUCUACUUUUUCGUGGGGGAUAACGUAGGGAAACUUACGCUAAUACCGCAUACGACCUACGGGUGAAAGCAGGGGAUCUUCGGACCUUGCGCGAUUGAAUGAGCCGAUGUCGGGUUAGCUAGUGGGCGGGGUAAAGGCCCACCAAGGCGACGAUCCGUAGCUGGUCUGAGAGGAUGAUCGGCCACACUGGAACUGGGACACGGUCCAGACUCCUACGGGAGGCAGCAGUGUGGAAUAUUGGACAAUGGGCGCAAGCCUGAUCCAGCCAUACCGCGUGGGUGAAGAAGGCCUUCGGGUUGUAAAGCCCUUUUGUUGGGAAAGAAAAGCAGCAGGUUAAUACCCCGCUGUUCUGACGGUACCCAAAGAAUAAGCACCGGCUAACUUCGUG
Molecule: ribosomal RNA, 492 nt
Filed under: uncultured bacterium
Lineage: Bacteria
Description: partial 16S ribosomal RNA
Rfam family: Bacterial small subunit ribosomal RNA
Source: RNAcentral